GAUGCACGCUAGCUACAGGCUUAACACAUGCAAGUCGAGGGACCGGCGCACGGGUGAGUAACACGUAUCCAACCUGCUCUUUACUCGGGGAUAGCCUUUCGAAAGAAAGAUUAAUACCCGAUAUCAAGGAUGGGGAUGCGUUCCAUUAGGUUGUUGGUGAGGUAACGGCUCACCAAGCAUUCGAUGGAUAGGGGUUCUGAGAGGAAGGUCCCCCACAUUGGACAUGGGACAAAGUCCAAACUCCUACGCGAGGCAGCAGAAAGGAAUAGUGGUCAAUGGGCGGUAGCCUGAACCAGCCAAGUAGCGUAAGGGAUGAAGGCUUAUGAGUCGUAAACUUCUGUUAUAGAAGAAUAUGUAUUAUAUGAAUAAGGAUCGGCUAACUCCGUGCCAGCAGCCGCGGUAAUAC
Molecule: ribosomal RNA, 406 nt
Filed under: uncultured bacterium
Lineage: Bacteria
Description: partial 16S ribosomal RNA
Rfam family: Bacterial small subunit ribosomal RNA
Source: RNAcentral